GGAUUAGAUACCCUGGUAGUCCUUGCCGUAAACGAUGUGUACUUGAUGUAGUUGGGCUCAACCCUGACUGUAUCGUAGCUAACGCGAUAAGUACACCGCCUGAGGAGUACGCUCGCAAGGGUGAAACUCAAAAGAAUUGACGGGGGCCCGCACAAGCAGUGGAGCAUGUGGUUUAAUUCGAUGCAACGCGAAGAACCUUACCUGGGCUCGAAAUGUAGGUGGCGAUAACAGAGAUGUUAUCUUCCGCAAGGACACCUAUAUAGGUGCUGCAUGGCUGUCGUCAGCUCGUGCCG
This 293-nucleotide ribosomal RNA is filed under the name uncultured bacterium. RNAcentral describes it as "partial 16S ribosomal RNA". It matches the Rfam family "Bacterial small subunit ribosomal RNA", at positions 775 to 1067 of the family's 1533-position model. The record is from RNAcentral.